Molecule: long non-coding RNA, 726 nt
Organism: Cygnus atratus (black swan)
Lineage: Eukaryota; Metazoa; Chordata; Aves; Anseriformes; Anatidae
Exons: 3
Source: RefSeq, a predicted model, not a curated record
CUCGGGAGGCGGAGGGAGGAAGGAAGGAAGGAAAAGGAGCGGGGCAGCAGCGCGGCGCCUCCUCCGCCACCGGCCCCCGGAGGCCGCGAAAAGAUUGGUCUCUGGAGGUGAAGCAGCUGAAGCCCCCGUCUCUCAGUCAUGUUAUCUGGAUGGCUUCGUCGUCGCUGCCAACCCGCCGCUGUGCCACGCAGUUCCCAGAGCGCAGAUUGUGGAGGGAGUUUGCGCCUCUUUCGAAAAGCAAAGCCCAAGAUCGCCCCCUUUCUUCCGAAGGUGCUACACAUGCUGCGCUCCAGCUAGUGUGUUGGUGUCGGACACGUCCUAUCCUCAUCACAACCCAAUUCAUUUCCUGAUACCAGGGGACUUUCUUCGUGUGUGUUUUGUGUGUUUGUUUGUUCCCUGGCCCAAACCAAGAAAUGGGUCUCUGAUGACUUCCUGAGGAGGGAAAAAGCCAUAUUCAUUCACUGAAUGGCUGCUGCGGUCCAAGAUUUGCUCUAGGGUGUUUCUUUGUUAUGAUUAUGGAGACACAGAGAGGAUGGGUCUUCAUUGGUGCUUUUACCCGUGUUCAGGUGCCCGCUAAUCUGCUUUUAGCUGCAACCAUGUGAGUGCUAUCUGUUUAGCACCCUUUCCACUUUCUAUCCAGUCUGCUGUCUUUUAUGCCUCAUAGCCUGGCUCUUAUCCAGAGCUUUCUUACAACUUUUUUUUAGCACCAUUGAUUAAAAACCCACU